CCCGUCACACCAUGGGAGUGGGUUUCACCAGAAGCAGCUAGCCUAACCGCAAGGAGGCAGAUGCCGAAGGUAUGGAUGGUGAUUGGGAUG
RNAcentral lists this ribosomal RNA (90 nucleotides) under uncultured bacterium. RNAcentral describes it as "partial 16S ribosomal RNA". The record is from RNAcentral.